UACGAAGGGUGCAAGCGUUGCUCGGAAUUAUUGGGCGUAAAGGGUAGGUAGGUGGUCUCGUUUGUCCGGGGUGAAAGCCUUGAGCUUAACUCAAGAAGUGCCUCGGAAACGGCGAGACUGGAGUACUGGAGAGGGUCGUGGAAUUCCCGGUGUAGCGGUGAAAUGCGUAGAGAUCGGGAGGAACACCAGAGGCGAAGGCGGCGACCUGGACAGUUACUGACACUCAACUACGAAAGCGUGGGGAGCAAACAGG
Molecule: ribosomal RNA, 253 nt
Filed under: uncultured bacterium
Lineage: Bacteria
Description: partial 16S ribosomal RNA
Rfam family: Bacterial small subunit ribosomal RNA
Source: RNAcentral